RNAcentral lists this ribosomal RNA (1311 nucleotides) under metagenome. RNAcentral's name for it is "SSU rRNA". It matches the Rfam family "Eukaryotic small subunit ribosomal RNA", at positions 490 to 1823 of the family's 1831-position model. The record is from RNAcentral.
GUUCUUAUGGAUCUCGUAAUUGGAAUGAGUACAAUUUAAAUCUCUUAACGAGGAACAAUUGGAGGGCAAGUCUGGUGCCAGCAGCCGCGGUAAUUCCAGCUCCAAUAGCGUAUAUUAAAGUUGUUGCAGUUAAAAAGCUCGUAGUUGAAUUUCGGGAUCAAUUUAUCGGUCGUGCCAAUGGUAUGAACUGGUACAAUUGGUUUCUCCCUUCUGACGAAGCAUGAUGUCAUUAAUUUGGUGUCGUGGGGAAUCAGGACUGUUACUUUGAAAAAAUUAGAGUGUUUAAAGCAAGCAUUAGCUUGAAUACAUUAGCAUGGAAUAAUGAAAUAGGACGUUUGAUCCUAUUUCGUUGGUUUCUAGGAUCGACGUAAUGAUUAAUAGGGAUAGUUGGGGGCAUUAGUAUUCAAUUGUCAGAGGUGAAAUUCUUGGAUUUAUUGAAGACUAACUACUGCGAAAGCAUUUGCCAAGGAUGUUUUCAUUAAUCAAGAACGAAAGUUAGGGGAUCGAAGACGAUCAGAUACCGUCGUAGUCUUAACCAUAAACUAUGCCGACUAGGGAUCGGAUGAUGUUAAUUUUUUAAUGACUCAUUCGGCGCCUUACGGGAAACCAAAGUGUUUGGGUUCCGGGGGGAGUAUGGUCGCAAGGCUGAAACUUAAAGGAAUUGACGGAAGGGCACCACCAGGGGUGGAGCCUGCGGCUUAAUUUGACCCAACACGGGGAAACUCACCAGGUCCAGACAUAGUAAGGAUUGACAGAUUGAGAGCUCUUUCUUGAUUCUAUGGGUGGUGGUGCAUGGCCGUUCUUAGUUGGUGGAGUGAUUUGUCUGGUUAAUUCCGAUAACGAACGAGACCUUAACCUGCUAAAUAGCUAGGCUUAGCAUUGCUAGGUCGUCAGCUUCUUAGAGGGACUAUCGGUGUUUAACCGAUGGAAGUUUGAGGCAAUAACAGGUCUGUGAUGCCCUUAGAUGUUCUGGGCCGCACGCGCGCUACAUUGAUGAAGUCAACGAGUUCACUCCCUUUGUCGGAAGACAUGGGUAAUCUUUUGAAACUUCAUCGUGCUGGGGAUAGAGCAUUGCAAUUAUUGCUCUUAAACGAGGAAUCCCUAGUAAGUACAAGUCAUCAGCUUGUGCUGAUUACGUCCCUGCCCUUUGUACACACCGCCCGUCGCUACUACCGAUUGAAUGGCUUAGUGAGGACUUCGGAUUGAGCUUCGGAAGCUGUAAAAGGCAUCCGAUUUUUAAAAAGUUGUUCAAACUUGGUCAUUUAGAGGAAGUAAAAGUCGUAACAAGGUUUCCGUAGGUACCUGCGGAAG